CAGUGCCACGGGAAUACGAAGGUGGCAAGCGUUGUCCGGAUUUAUUGGGCGUAAAGCGAGCGCAGGCGGUUCCUUAAGUCUGAUGUGAAAGCCCCCGGCUCAACCGGGGAGGGUCAUUGGAAACUGGGGAACUUGAGUGCAGAAGAGGAGAGUGGAAUUCCAUGUGUAGCGGUGAAACGCGUAGAUAUAUGGAGUAACACCAGUGGCGAAGGCGACUCUCUGGUCUGUAACUGACGCUGAGGCUCGAAAGCGUGGGUAGCAAACAGGAUUAGAUACCCGCGUAGUCCCUGUCUCUUAUACC
RNAcentral lists this ribosomal RNA (301 nucleotides) under uncultured bacterium. Its description in RNAcentral is "partial 16S ribosomal RNA". It matches the Rfam family "Bacterial small subunit ribosomal RNA", at positions 509 to 808 of the family's 1533-position model. The record is from RNAcentral.